Molecule: ribosomal RNA, 590 nt
Filed under: Escherichia albertii
Lineage: Bacteria; Pseudomonadati; Pseudomonadota; Gammaproteobacteria; Enterobacterales; Enterobacteriaceae
Description: bacterial SSU rRNA
Rfam family: Bacterial small subunit ribosomal RNA
Source: RNAcentral
AAAUUGAAGAGUUUGAUCAUGGCUCAGAUUGAACGCUGGCGGCAGGCCUAACACAUGCAAGUCGAACGGUAACAGGAAGAAGCUUGCUUCUUUGCUGACGAGUGGCGGACGGGUGAGUAAUGUCUGGGAAACUGCCCGAUGGAGGGGGAUAACUACUGGAAACGGUAGCUAAUACCGCAUAACGUCGCAAGACCAAAGAGGGGGACCUUCGGGCCUCUUGCCAUCGGAUGUGCCCAGAUGGGAUUAGCUUGUUGGUGAGGUAACGGCUCACCAAGGCGACGAUCCCUAGCUGGUCUGAGAGGAUGACCAGCCACACUGGAACUGAGACACGGUCCAGACUCCUACGGGAGGCAGCAGUGGGGAAUAUUGCACAAUGGGCGCAAGCCUGAUGCAGCCAUGCCGCGUGUAUGAAGAAGGCCUUCGGGUUGUAAAGUACUUUCAGCGGGGAGGAAGGGAGUAAAGUUAAUACCUUUGCUCAUUGACGUUACCCGCAGAAGAAGCACCGGCUAACUCCGUGCCAGCAGCCGCGGUAAUACGGAGGGUGCAAGCGUUAAUCGGAAUUACUGGGCGUAAAGCGCACGCAGGCGGUU